CCUCCCCUGCAGGCUAGGGGAGGAAGGGGGACCUGGCCAGCAGCUCAGCUCCCCCUGGCCUCAGUUGGUCUGUCUGCAAAGUGGGGUUAAUAAGGUCUCCCUCCUAUGCAGGGGCCUACACAUCCUAUGUCUGGAGAGAGAGCCUCUCAUGGAAGGGCUGUGAGAUCAGCACUAUGUAAGAACAAAGAGGUGUUCUUACACCUGGAAAAGACUAUAUAAGGCUGAUGCCUCAUCUCCAUCUGGUCUUCAAUCCUGCUUCAUACCUCUGGAGGAACUUUGCUACAAACUGAAGCUCUGAACAAAGGACUGAAUGACCCAUCCCAGCUGGGGAUGUAUUCAAGAGACUUGAUUUGAACCUGCAGUUUAUUCCAUCGCUGCUGCAAGCCUGAACCAAGAACUUUGCCAUUACUGUAUGUAAUUGAUUCCAUUUAACCAAUUCUAACUCUCAUCUCUAUCUUUUUCCUUUUAUGAAUAAACCUUUAGAUUUUAGAUUCUAAA
This is a long non-coding RNA of Malaclemys terrapin pileata, 498 nucleotides long. RefSeq lists it as uncharacterized. The record is from RefSeq and is a predicted model, not a curated record. The transcript is spliced from 2 exons. Lineage: Eukaryota; Metazoa; Chordata; Testudines; Emydidae.